RNAcentral lists this transfer RNA (72 nucleotides) under Ovis aries (sheep). It matches the Rfam family "tRNA". From Rfam's summary of the family: Transfer RNA (tRNA) molecules are approximately 80 nucleotides in length. Their secondary structure includes four short double-helical elements and three loops (D, anti-codon, and T loops). Lineage: Eukaryota; Metazoa; Chordata; Mammalia; Artiodactyla; Bovidae. The record is from Rfam by way of RNAcentral.
UCUCUGGUAGCUCAGCUGGUAAAGCAUCUGCCUGCAGUGCAGGAGAUCCCAGUUUGAUUCCGGGGCAUAGAA